AACGAACGCUGGCGGCAUGCCUAACACAUGCAAGUCGAACGAGACCUUCGGGUCUAGUGGCGCACGGGUGCGUAACGCGUGGGAACCUGCCCUUAGGUUCGGAAUAACUCCCCGAAAGGGGUGCUAAUACCGGAUAAUGUCUUCGGACCAAAGAUUUAUCGCCUUUGGAUGGGCCCGCGUUGGAUUAGCUAGUUGGUAGGGUAAAAGCCUACCAAGGCGACGAUCCAUAGCUGGUCUGAGAGGAUGAUAAGCCACACUGGGACUGAGACACGGCCCAGACUCCUACGGGAGGCAGCAGUGGGGAAUAUUGGACAAUGGGCGAAAGCCUGAUCCAGCCAUGCCGCGUGAGUGAUGAAGGCCUUAGGGUUGUAAAGCUCUUUUACCCGGGAUGAUAAUGACAGUACCGGGAGAAUAAGCUCCGGCUAACUCCGUG
Molecule: ribosomal RNA, 433 nt
Filed under: uncultured bacterium
Lineage: Bacteria
Description: partial 16S ribosomal RNA
Rfam family: Bacterial small subunit ribosomal RNA
Source: RNAcentral